RNAcentral lists this ribosomal RNA (235 nucleotides) under uncultured bacterium. RNAcentral describes it as "partial 16S ribosomal RNA". It matches the Rfam family "Bacterial small subunit ribosomal RNA", at positions 524 to 746 of the family's 1533-position model. The record is from RNAcentral.
UACGUAGGGGGGCGAGCGUUGUCCGGAUUUUAUUGGGCGUAAAAACGCUUGUAGGUGGCUACGUCAAAGUCGGACGUGAAAAUCUCCCCGGCUUUAACUGGGAGGGGGUCGCUCGAUACUGGCGAGCUCGAGGCAGGUAGGGGGGAAGCGGAAUUCCCCGGUGUAGUGGUGGAAAUGCGUAGAUAUCGGGAGGAACACCAGUGGCGAAGGCGGCUUCCUGGACCUGUUCUGACAC